Molecule: ribosomal RNA, 273 nt
Filed under: Bacillus licheniformis
Lineage: Bacteria; Bacillati; Bacillota; Bacilli; Caryophanales; Bacillaceae
Description: partial 16S ribosomal RNA
Rfam family: Bacterial small subunit ribosomal RNA
Source: RNAcentral
UGCUCCCUGAUGUUAGCGGCGGACGGGUGAGUAACACGUGGGUAACCUGCCUGUAAGACUGGGAUAACUCCGGGAAACCGGGGCUAAUACCGGAUGCUUGAUUGAACCGCAUGGUUCAAUUAUAAAAGGUGGCUUUUAGCUACCACUUACAGAUGGACCCGCGGCGCAUUAGCUAGUUGGUGAGGUAACGGCUCACCAAGGCAACGAUGCGUAGCCGACCUGAGAGGGUGAUCGGCCACACUGGGACUGAGACACGGCCCAGACUCCUACGGG